UGUGGGAGCGAGCCUGCUCGCGAUAGCGUCGGAUCAGCAACAUUGAGGGUGACUGUUACACCGCUAUCGCGAGCAGGCUCGCUCCCACA
Molecule: unclassified non-coding RNA, 89 nt
Filed under: Pseudomonas sp. A214
Lineage: Bacteria; Pseudomonadati; Pseudomonadota; Gammaproteobacteria; Pseudomonadales; Pseudomonadaceae
Source: RNAcentral